UACGUAGGAGGAAAGCGUUGUCCGGAAUUAUUGGGCGUAAAGCGCGCGCAGGCGGGUAUGUAAGUUUGAUGUUAAAGCCCGGGGCUCAACCUCGGUUCGCAUUGGAAACUGUGUAACUUGAGUGCAGAAGAGGAAAGUGGUAUUACACGUGUAGCGGUGAAAUGCGUAGAUAUGUGGAGGAACACCAGUGGCGAAGGCGACUUUCUGGUCUGUAACUUACGCUGAGGCGCGCAAGCGUGGGGAGCAAACAGG
This 252-nucleotide ribosomal RNA is filed under the name uncultured bacterium. RNAcentral's name for it is "partial 16S ribosomal RNA". It matches the Rfam family "Bacterial small subunit ribosomal RNA", at positions 524 to 776 of the family's 1533-position model. The record is from RNAcentral.